Molecule: ribosomal RNA, 391 nt
Filed under: uncultured bacterium
Lineage: Bacteria
Description: bacterial SSU rRNA
Rfam family: Bacterial small subunit ribosomal RNA
Source: RNAcentral
UACCCCGAUGACCGGACAACCCGAGGAAACUCGGGCUAAUACCGGAUGUGUACGGAGACAUAAGUCUCUUUACUAAAGGUAGCUUCGGCUUCCGCAUUGGGAGGGGCCCGCGGCCCAUUAGCUAGUUGGUGGGGUCAAGGCCUACCAAGGCAACGAUGGGUAGCUGGUCUGAGAGGACGAUCAGCCACACUGGGACUGAGACACGGCCCAGACUCCUACGGGAGGCAGCAGUGGGGAAUCUUGCGCAAUGCGCGAAAGCGUGACGCAGCAACACCGCGUGAGGGAAGACGGCCUUAGGGUUGUAAACCUCUUUCAGAUGGGACGAAGGUGAUGCGGUGAAUAGCCGAUGUCAUUGACGGUACCGUCAGAAGAAGCUCCGGCUAACUACGUG